RNAcentral lists this unclassified non-coding RNA (658 nucleotides) under Bombus terrestris (buff-tailed bumblebee). RNAcentral's name for it is "misc RNA ENSBTSG00005032958.1". Lineage: Eukaryota; Metazoa; Arthropoda; Insecta; Hymenoptera; Apidae. The record is from RNAcentral.
UCGCGUCUGCCAAUCUACUGAGCGACGCAAAUCUACGACUGCCAAAUGUGUAUCCUUUAGUUUCCAUCGAACAAAGAUUGAACGGUGAGGGAAGACCUAUUCGAGGUUCGCGAUUCACCAACGCCCGGGGUUCAGGAAUUAUAUCGUUUAACUUAUCUAAAUGCGCGCAGCGCCUGGGUUGAAGAGAGGUUGGGCUACCGCCUAGACGGUUUGCCUGAUGUCGGUGUACUUCAACGAACCGUCGACGACACCAGCGUUCAACCCUUUGCCUGUUUAGCAUUCCAUCUUCGAUUUGCUUUGCGGUUCCCACGGGGAAACCCGAACGGUGAAUUUUUACACGGGAAAAUCGAAGAGAAAAGGGGAGAAAAGGAAGAAAGAAACGGGAAUGCCGCGUGAACGGGAUUAGCGGCGAUUCCGGAGUCGAUAAAUCAUUACAGGCUCGCGGACGCACGACCAGAAGCGUAGAAGAGACGGAAGAAUUCCGAUAAUCGGAUGAACGUGACUGGAGCACUUGUUGAAUCGACCGAGAUAUAAAUUAAACGUUCGCAUUGGCAAACAAUUAUUUCGUCGUCCACGAUGUUUGCUCUUCUGUUUGGGGCAUCGCUUGAUAUAUCUAUUUUCGUGUAUUUUUUUCCUUAGAAAGAAGUUUGUAGGAUAU